Molecule: ribosomal RNA, 478 nt
Filed under: uncultured bacterium
Lineage: Bacteria
Description: partial 16S ribosomal RNA
Rfam family: Bacterial small subunit ribosomal RNA
Source: RNAcentral
GACGAACGCUGGCGGCGUGCUUAACACAUGCAAGUCGAGCGAUGAAGCUCCUUCGGGAGUGGAUUAGCGGCGGACGGGUGAGUAACACGUGGGUAACCUGCCUCAUAGAGGGGAAUAGCCUUCCGAAAGGAAGAUUAAUACCGCAUAAGAUUGUAGUGCUGCAUGGUAUAGCAAUUAAAGGAGCAAUCCGCUAUGAGAUGGACCCGCGUCGCAUUAGCUAGUUGGUGAGGUAACGGCUGACCAAGGCGACGAUGCGUAGCCGAACUGAGAGGGUGAUCGGCCACGUUGGAACUAAGAAACGGCCCAGACUCCUACUGGAGGCAGAAGUGGGGAAUAUUGCACAAUGGGGGAAACCCUGAUGCAGCAACGCCGCGUGAGUGAUGACGGUCUUCGGAUUGCAAAGCUCUGUCUUCAGGGACGAUAAUGACGGUACCUGAGGAGGAAGCCACGGCUAACUACGUGCCAGCCGCCGCCGUAA